AGGGAAAUCCAAGACUUCCGGUGCCGGGGAUGCCCGAAGACUUUGCUUGACUAUGGGUUAGAUUGCACAAAGCCACAGGAUGAAGUCACCGGUUCUGUCGUCACAACAGUCUUAAGAAGAGCAGACUGUGUUGGCCUGGGAACCAAAUGUGAACUGGAGGCAACAGUUGCAAACUGCUGUCUUUCACUGAUAUGCCUCCUAGCUGGACAGAGGGGAUUAGAUGUCCUUGCUAUGGAUUCCUAUGUAUUGGCAUGUUGGAGUCCACCUCAUUGCGUAGACCCUUUUGAAUCACUACCAGCAGAUGCAGCAUUUAAAGGCUGCAUCCUAUUUACAAUAUGGACACCAGGACAUUGGCACUUGUGUGUAGGUUUUGACUGUCAGUUGUUUCAUCUUUUAGCAUUUUAAAUAGGUGUUGAAAAUAGAUAUGGUGCAGGUUUUUUUUUUUUGUCUGCAGGGAUGAAUAUUCAUCUGAGGGAUGAAUAUUUCAACGUGGAAUAUACAAGAGCAAUGCAUUGGUCGGUGAACAUUUGAUUGAUUUGCAUAUAUUCACAGGUCAUGAAGCCCAAUCUUAAAAGGAUUUACAUUCUUGAUUCAUCCGACCCUUGUGGUUUUGGGCAGGCGUAUUAUGUGUCCAUUUUCAGGUUUUCUUCUAAUAUUCAGGGACUGUUCUUUGUCCCCUG
Cyprinus carpio (common carp) is the source of this 680-nucleotide long non-coding RNA. Lineage: Eukaryota; Metazoa; Chordata; Actinopteri; Cypriniformes; Cyprinidae. The record is from Ensembl.